UAAGGUGAGCGGCAAAAUAUGUCUUGGCGGCGAAGUUUCUUUGACAAACUUCUAACAAGAUGGACCGAGUGAUGUUUUGCCCGUUUUGUGGCAAUCACGUAAGCCGUUUAUCGCGGUUUUGUUUUUCAUGUGGUCGUGGUUUAGACUUUUUAAAAGUUGAAGACGAAGUGGAAGGGCCAAACGCACAGGGGUCGUCUAACGUUAAACAGCCGGAUGAAACUAAACCAACAGAAAAGCCUUGCCCAUCAUACAAACAGUUCCUGGAAUACAGAAGCGCAAAGUCAAAAGAACGACAGUCUUUUAACUAUGGGCCGAGAGGAAAACAUGGGGCUAAAGAAAGAAAAAACGUCCAGAUAAACAUCGGCUUGAUGGUGCCACAUGGAACUGAUUUGAAACCUCUUAGAGGGAAAACACUCCCAUUAUAUGUAGACCCAGAGGUAGCAGCACCUGAUGUACUGAAACAAGCUGUCCAGAAAAUGACAACAUUUAACAAGGACAUGCCAAAAGGACCGUACGUUCUUUUGCAUCCAGACUGCUCAGAGGUGGUCCAUGUGCCUGGAUCAGAAACACCAUUCAAAUUGGCAGAAUAUAAAAAGGAGCUUGGAAAGGCAUAUUCCAGGAUCACCUUUUACAUUUGCCUAGAAAAAGACUUUAAAGGAGCACCGGAUGAUACCUCAGACUCUGAUUCUGAAAUUAUCAUUGCAUCAAGGAGCACAGUUGAAUUCUACCAAGCUGACACUGUGAGAUGCACCGGGACAUUCAGCAACAAUUCAGCCUGGACAGAUAGUAAUAUCUGAUACUGAGGAUAUGGAUCCACUGGAAACAAAUCCAGAAAAGACUUCUUGCUACAGUAAAUACACAGACCUGUAUGCACCGGGUAUUGUGGAAGAGGACGAGGACGAGGAGCUGGUUGCAGUCCAUGUGGAGAAUUUCCAACACACAGCAGUGUAAAAUGAGCUUUUUACUGUGGCAUUCCAGUUUUUUCACUGUGCAAUAUUUGUAUUUUUUUAAUAUGAAUUCAUUCACAGCUGUUAGGGAGGAUGAAUACUACCUGGCAGGAAAGAUGAUUGCAGUGUCAGUUGUGCAUGGGGGUCCAGGACCCCAUUUCUUGUCAGAAGAUCUUGUACAUUAUCUUGCGGGCCAGCCUUCAUUCAAAUCAACAGUUAAUUCAAUAACUGAUGAAGAAACAGAGGAAGCUUUGCAAGAGGUGAGAAUAGAAUAAGCCUACAGUAUGAUAGGGCAGUUCUAUUUCGUCCCUACUGACCGCCAGGCGGUGCUGUAAGCACUGGAUAUCUUCCCUCGCGCAUGCGCAUGUCGAGUACAAUACCAACAAUGUCACGUCACCCGUGACCCCUGCAUGACCCCCGGAAGGGUAUAUCUUCCGGCGUCAGCAUGGGAUCUUCUCCUUAUUCUUCUCGCAUCGCGCGUCUGAAGUACAGGACGGAAAUAGGAGCUUUGUGAAAGCUUCUUCCUUUCCUCCCUAAAACCGCCGGCCCCCGUGCAGCUUCGUGCCGUAAGGUAGGAGUAACGAUCUCUGUCGUCCUCCAAGAGGCUGUGGCCGCGUGGUAUUUAUUGGUAUUUAUUGGUAUUUAUUGGUGUUCGUUGCGGCGGCGGCGCCUCCCCGCCCCGCCCCCCUGGCCCAGCUGACAGAAGGUAAGCUGUUGGCUGCGCCCGACACCUGAACAUUCUGUGCAGUUAUUUUUUCUGCUGAAAAAAAAAAAAAAAAAAAAGAAGACAGAAAGGGAUUAUUUUUUUCUUUGGAAAAAACAAUACAAACACCUUUUUUGGUCUUUCUUACAGCCGUGGUGAAGGCCACGCCCCUCUCCCACCGGCUCAUUUGUGGUGACGGCAGCGUUCGCUCCCUCUCCCACUUUAUUAAUGUGACAUUAUUUUUUCCUUGCAGAUUAUUUUUUUCUUUUGAAAAAAAAAAGGAAAAAAAAGGAGACAGAAAAGGAUUAUUUUUUUUCUUUUGAAAAAACAAUACAAACACCUUUUUUGGACUUUCUUACAGCCGUGGUGAAGGCCACGCCCCUCUCCCACCGGCUCAUUUGUGGUGACGGCAGCGUUUCGCUCCCUCUCCCACUUUAUUAAUGUGACAACAUUAUUUUUUCCUUGCAGAUUAUUUUUUUCUUUUGAAAAAAAAAAAAAAAAAAGGAAAGAAACGAGAGAGGAUUGUUCUCUUCUUUUUGAGUAAAGACGCCUAUUUUUGCCUUUUCUCAUAGCCGUGGUGACGGCAGCGUGGCCCUCCCCUCUCCCGCCUGCAUAUUGGCGGUGACAGCAGCGUGCUCGCUGUGGUGACGGCAGCGUUUCCGCUCCCCUCUCCCACUGACACACCUGUGUUGACGGUAGCGUGGCCCUCCCCUCUCCCGCCUGUAUAUUGGCGGUGACGGCAGCGUGCUCGCUGUGGUGACGGCAGCGUUUCCGCUCCCCUCUCCCACUGACACCUACGUGGUGAUGGCAGCUCGUCCGCUCCCUCUCCCACCGGCACAUCCGUGGUGACGGCAGCGUGACCGCUCCCCUCUCCCACCGACACAUUCGUGUGGACGGCAGCGUGACCGCUCCCACCGACACAUUCGUGUGGACGGCAGCGUGUCCGCUCGUCUCUCCUACCAGCACAUCCGUGGUGACGGCAGCGUGUUCGCUCCCUCUCCCACUGACACAUCCGUGCUGACGGUAGCGUGGCCGCUCCCCUCUCCCACCGGCAUAUUGGUGGUGACGGCAGCGUGCUCGCUGUGGUGACGGCAGCGUUUCCGCUCCCCUCUCCCACUGACACAUCCGUAUUGGCGGUAGCGUGGCCCUCCCCUCUCCCGCCGGCACAUUGGCGGUGAUGGCAGCGUGCUCGCUGUGGUGACUGCAGCGUUUCUGCUCCCCUCUCCCACUGACACAUCCGUGCUGACUGUAGCGUGGCCCUCCCCUCUCCCGCCUGUAUAUUGGCGGUGACGGCAGCGUGCUCGCUGUGGUGACGGCAGCGUUUCCGCUCCCCUCUCCCACUGACACCUACGUGGUGAUGGCAGCUCGUCCGCUCCCUCUCCCACCGGCACAUCCGUGGUGACAGCAGCGUGACCGCUCCCCUCUCCCACCGACACAUUCGUGUGGACGGCAGCGUGACCGCUCCCACCGACACAUUCGUGUGGACGGCAGCGUGUCCGCUCGUCUCUCCUACCAGCACAUCCGUGGUGACGGCAGCGUGUUCGCUCCCUCUCCCACUGACACAUCCGUGCUGACGGUAGCGUGGCCGCUCCCCUCUCCCACCGGCAUAUUGGUGGUGACGGCAGCGUGCUCGCUGUGGUGACGGCAGCGUUUCCGCUCCCCUCUCCCACUGACACAUCCGUAUUGGCGGUAGCGUGGCCCUCCCCUCUCCCGCCGGCACAUUGGCGGUGAUGGCAGCGUGCUCGCUGUGGUGACUGCAGCGUUUCUGCUCCCCUCUCCCACUGACACAUCCGUGCUGACGGUAGCGUGACCGCUCCCCUCUCCCGCCAGCAUAUUGGUGGUGACGGCAGCGUGCUCGCUGUGGUGACGGCAGCGUUUCCGCUCCCCUCUCCCACCGACACCUACGUGGUGACUGCAGCGCGUCCGCUCCCCUCUCCCACCGGCACAUCCGUGGUGACGGCAGCGUGACCGCUCCCACCGACACAUUCGUGUGAACGGCAGCGUGUCCGCUCCUCUCUCCUGCCAGCACAUCCGUGGCGACGGCAGCGUUUCCGCUCCCCUCUCCCACUGACACAUCCGUAUUGGCGGUAGCGUGGCCCUCCCCUCUCCCGCCGGCACAUUGGCGGUGAUGGCAGCGUGCUCGCUGUGGUGACUGCAGCGUUUCUGCUCCCCUCUCCCACUGACACAUCCGUGCUGACGGUAGCGUGACCGCUCCCCUCUCCCGCCAGCAUAUUGGUGGUGACGGCAGCGUGCUCGCUGUGGUGACGGCAGCGUUUCCGCUCCCCUCUCCCACCGACACCUACGUGGUGACUGCAGCGCGUCCGCUCCCCUCUCCCACCGGCACAUCCGUGGUGACGGCAGCGUGACCGCUCCCACCGACACAUUCGUGUGAACGGCAGCGUGUCCGCUCCUCUCUCCUGCCAGCACAUCCGUGGCGACGGCAGCGUGUCUGCUCCCUCUCCCACCGGUCGCUGUGAUGGAGCGUUCAUGCCCAGGGUGCAUGGCCGCCCUGGACCCUGCGGAUGACCAGGACCUCUGCGUGUCGUGCCUCGGCCCUGAGCCCCCCCCCCCCCCCCCCCAUCGAGCCCUCCAUUGCAGCACUGAUAGUGGCUCCUGAUGAGGCUCUGAAGCCAGAUCUCGAGUGCCCCUCUACCCAGAGUAGGGUUACUGAUUGGCAUAUUUGUAAGGCUUAUGAAACAGCGGCACGCAUCGGCCGGCUGGGGAACACCCUUUCCCAUCUUCUGCUGGCUCUCUCCACCUCCCUGCAGGAUGCACGGGUGGAGGAUUCCACACGGGACAUGUGUGACAUAUCCCUACAGGCUUUUUGCCUCCCAAACGAGGGAACUGGGGCGGCUGAUGUCCACCCUGGUGCACACGCGCCGUCAUGUCUGACUGGCGCAGUCACCCCUGACGGAGACUGCUCGUAGGGUUCUUCGUCGGGCACCGGCAGAGCCGGGGGAGCUGUUUGGGGCAACUGCCCUGGAAGCUCUGAACCGCACCGCCCUGGCCGAUGAGACCAGGCAGCGGCUGGUGUACCUUCACAGGGGUGCGGCCGCUUCCUGUACACCGGGAGGCCCUUCACCGGCCCCCGGGCUUCGCCCCCGGCCGCCUGCCCACUGCGGCCGGCGCGGCUUUCAGCGGUCUGUGAGUCAGCCUGCUGGUGACUUUCGCCCCCCUGUGCGCGGACCGUCCCACCAGCGUCGGGGCGUUGAUCCCGACCGUCGCCCCCCCGGGACGUCCGGAGCCCGGGGGAGACGGCGCUAAGGCCACGGAGCCGGUCGUCAGCUACUUUUCCGGCAGCAGCUCGGUUACUGGGCUGCCUGCUCAUUGGGGCCCGGGUGGUUUCCACCCUAGCCCAGGGGUACGUAUUGCAGUUCCGACACCGGCCUCCUACCUCCGGCCGGGUUGAGAUGACCAUCGUCAGAGACCCGGCAAACAUUCCGGCUCGGGCUCAGGUGUUGCCCGCCCUACUGGCCAAGAGCGCCAUCAUGCCGGUGGACCCCCCGCCGCGGCCUGGGGGUUCUACUUGAGCUACUUUCUCGUCAGCAAGAGAGACGACGGACAUCGUCCCAUCUUGGACCUGAGGGACCUCGACGAAUACAUGAAGGUCCUGCCCUUCCGGAGGCUUGACCACAGCAGAUGCUCUGCGUUGAUCAGGAGGAAGUUGUUUGCAACUGUGGACCUACAGGGCGCUUGUUUCACGUGCCGGUCGCGGCACGUCACCGGUGGUUCCGGGGGUUCGCCUACCGGGGCCACCGUUGUCGGUUCAGGGUGCUCCUGUGCGGGCUCUCCCUGUCACCGAGGAUUUUUUUCACCAGGUGCGUGAUGGCAACCCUUGCCCCUCUUAUACCUUUGGGCCUGCUGUCGCUACGCCCCCUGCAAUGUGGCUGGACAGCCUCGCCUGGAUGCCAAGAGGCACGGGCGCAGGCUGGUCAGGGUUUCGCGGGUGUGUGUCUAUACCCUUGCACCCUGGAAAGGCGGGACAUUCCGGCUGAGGGGUGUGCCCUUAGGCGCUGUCCCCUCCCUGCCGGGAGGCUGUCAUCAGUAGUCCUCCCGGGUCCGCACGCGCCACAUCAACGUGCUGGAGCUCUGGGCUCUGCACUUCACACUAACAUUUUUUGCAACUCCUGUGGGGGAGGCACGUGCCGGGUCGGUCGGACGGUGUGCCCACUGUUCCUUGAUCGGCCACCAGAGGGGGCCCCGACUCUGCACAGCUGCUGCAGGUGUCCCGGGGCCUCCUAGCGUGGACAGCUCCUCGCCUGCCCGGCCUUCGGGCGAUGUUCCUGCCUGGAGACAGGAACCGGGUGACGGACUUCCUCUCCCGGCGCAAGCCGCCUUUGCAGAGGGUCCUCCAGAGGGCUCACGGGCUCCUCUUGGUGGCCCCCUUCCGACCGGGGAAACAUAGUUUCCACUGCUGCGGAGGCUCUGCUGCGACACAACAUGACGCCCUCCAGAGGGACCGUCUUUUCCAGCCGGGGAUUCAGGUUUGCACCCCGACCCCGUCGCUUUGGCUCUGAGUCUGGCCGCUGCGGCGCCGGACCCAUUGUUGUCAAGCUGUCCUGAACCCGCCAGGGCUGGCAUCUCGAAUGCCCAUGUGCCUCCCACCCGCCUCUGGUAUGAGUGCGAGUGGGGGAGAUUCUCUGCCUGGUGUGCAGACGGGGCAGAGGACCCUGUUCUUUGCCCCGUGGCCACGAUCCUGGGGUCCCUUUCGGUCCCUCCUGGAUGGUGGCCGUGCUCAGUCCGCUUUAAAGGUGUAUGUGGCGGUCAUUUCAUCGCAACAUGCCCUGGUUGAGAAUGCCACCGUGGGGAGCCACCGGCUGGUUUCUCUUUCUCAGGGGGGCUCUGAGGCUGCCCCCCCCCCGAGGAGCCCGAAGGCCCCGGUUUUCGAUUCCAUUCGAUUUUUGUAUAGCGUCUAAUACAACAGAUGUUGUCUCUAGACGCUUUCCAGAUGUUGGGCUCAGCCCAUGUGAAAGUAGGAGGAUGAAUUCAUACUAUGUGUGAUCUGAGAAAAAUUACAUUGCCAUCAAAUUCCAGCAAAGCCAGACCCGGCCUCCCCCCCUGGAGUUUAUGAUCCCGCUGCUAUCUUCUCGCUCAGGCCAAUUUAUAACCCUGGUGGCCUGGUUCGAGAUGGCCUGUAUGUGACCCACGAUACGGCCCCACAUCAAAGGGGCGCCCACGGAAACAGAACUCAGGUUUAUGACACCUAGAGGGGGGUCAAAAAAAGCGAAUCAGCAGGAUUUCUGCCAGGUACAGGCUCCCCGAGGGUUUAUGGCACCUGGGGGGGUCAGACACCCGGAGCCCGAGCGCCAGGCCUCGAUCGGCCAGGAGGAUUGGUUGGCACUGCCUGUGAUCAGUCCCACCCCCAAAGAGACUACAAAAAGGAGCAACCACCUGAUGCUCCUCUGCUUUUUUUUCCGUCUCGUUCUUAUUUAGUUUCUCCGCUUUUUCUUCGUUUCUCUGCUUUUUUACGUUUUUCAGUUUGCUCAUAUUUUUUUGGCAUCAGGCCAAAACCUGGAGUGUGGCUCCAAAGUUUUCUUUUUCUUCUUUUUUAUUUUUCCCUGUUCACUUUUCCGUCUGCCCGGCCUUUUUGCCUGCUGGCAGAGGUGAGACUUUUCCUAGCCCGACUCCCACAUCCAACCAGCGCAGAAUCCGCUCCGCGGACCCUGCCAGCCGACUCAGUGGACGCCACCGCGGUGAAACGGUCUUUCCCGGAGCAUCCCGACAUCGGGGCCCGGCGCCGACCGCGACAAAGGACCACUGGAGAUCUCACGCUGGUAAUAGGGUCGCCGGUCCUGCAAACCUGCCCUGUGUUCCUUUUCCUCAGAGUCGGACGGGGUGAGACGGAGUCCCCCCCCUCCCGGGUGCGCGCAAGGAGCGUUUAUACUGCACCCACGGGCUGGACGAAACCCCCCUCCUCCUCCUCCUCAAACAGAGCGGCUCUCUCACCUACUGCAAAAUUGAGAAUGCUGCUUCAUUGGAUGCUCUGCGUGAAUCUAUCAUGAGACACAGCACAAUGUUACAGACAGCAGGUAGUCUGAGACGUGUCUGCUGUGGAAGAAAAGAAAGAAUUGGUGGCAGACUACCUCCCAUGGUAUAUUAUUGACUGCAACUCAUCUGUUAUUGACAGUGGCACUCUGUUCCUUCUCUCUUAAUUGCACCACUUCCUAAGAUUCAAAGAUGGUCUCUCAGCCCUUCAGUUUUUGCAUGCACUCCAGCAACACCCUGCUUUGGUGGUCCCUGUCCUUUGCCACUCAGAAAAGCGACUCAGUGGCAUGGAAGUUGAGAGACUCUUCAGACCUGACCUCAGUCCUUCAGGGAGUAACAGGAGACUGAAAGAAAGUCAAACCUUGGCCUACUGGGCAGACUAUCUCCUUGAUUGUGAAGAAGGCCAGGCUGCUGUGUCUGUGGAGGAUGUGUUGAUGUUUGCAACUGGGCUGACUUCACUUCCCCCAUCUGGCUUGGAACCACUGCCACAAAUGGAGUUCUUGGAUGACUCUCCCUUCCCAAUGUCAAAUACAUGUUCAAACUCAUUGAAAUUACCACUCCUAGAGUCAUACAGUGUGUUCAAGUCACAAAUGGACUUUGGUAUUCAAAAUAGUCCAGGAUUCGGCUGUUUCUAAACCAUGAUGACCCCUAGAGCUCAGACUCUAAAAAUGUUUCUGUUGUUGUUAAGAUGCACCUAAAGGUGCAGUUGCUAAUGUUAAAGCUGUAGCUAGUUAGCAUUUUACAAUUGUUAUAAUGACCCAUUAUACUCAAACUGGUCUGUUUGUGAGUAGCUGUUUUAGAUAAAAUAAACACGAGAUUUCAA
Molecule: long non-coding RNA, 8458 nt
Organism: Cololabis saira (Pacific saury)
Lineage: Eukaryota; Metazoa; Chordata; Actinopteri; Beloniformes; Belonidae
Exons: 11
Source: RefSeq, a predicted model, not a curated record